This 23-nucleotide microRNA is filed under the name Homo sapiens (human). RNAcentral's name for it is "hsa-miR-4647". Lineage: Eukaryota; Metazoa; Chordata; Mammalia; Primates; Hominidae. The record is from miRBase by way of RNAcentral.
GAAGAUGGUGCUGUGCUGAGGAA